AGUAACUGCGAGCGAAAGGGGAUGAGCCCAAAGCCGAAUCGCGCUGUAAAAGGCGCGAAAUGUGGCGUAUGGAAGGCGUUAUUUUCUUACCUGGACGGCGGAUCAAGUCCCCAUGAACGGGGCACGACCCAGAGCGGGUGCAAGGCCCGUGUUUCCGCUCGUCCUAGUCUGGGAAUCGACGAUUCUUCCGGGAGUCGGGUUGCUUGAAAGUGCAGCCCAAAGUGGGUGGUAAACUCCACCUAAGGCUAAAUAUGACCGAGAGACCGAUAGCAAACAAGUACCUUGAGGGAAAGUUGAAAAGAACUUUGAAGAGAGAGUUCAAUAGUACGUGAAACCGCUUAGAGGUAAACGGGUGGGACCUCGAAAACUGGACGGGCGUAGAUUCAGCCGCGGCAGCAUGAGCCCGACCGUUCGUUGGUUUGACUAACCCCACGAGGGGGAGUCGCUAGCGAACCCGUCGGAUGCCGCGGUGCAUUUCUUUGCUCGUCGAGACGUCGCGACCGGUUGGUAGCGCGUCGGAAGGACAGUGUGGACAGAUAGCUGAUCGCGCAUCGCGCGGUCGGUGUUAUAGUCCAUGACCGUAUUGCUGACGAGCCUUCGACCGGGGACUUUGCGCUUCUUCUCCCUUCGCGGGAGAGCCCAUCGUCGACGUUAGGACUUGAGGGAAUCACGGUGACGUGACCUCUUCUGUUCCUAGCGUCGGCCGGGAAACGGAGGCCAGGGGUCGGCGGCGAGUAGGUCGGUAUCCCACCCGACCCGUCUUGAAACACGGACCAAGGAGUCUAAAGCGUAUGCGAGCUCCCGGGAGUUGACCAUCCCCGAGGGCGCAAUGAAAGUGAAAGACCCUUCUACCUAGGUAGAGGGUCGUAAGUUGGGAUCCGGCUCUCUAGGGAGUCGGCGCACCAACUGCCCGUCCCGUCAGCAACGUCUGUGGGGCGGAGCCAGAGUAUACGCUCUGGGACCCGAAAGAUGGUGAACUAUGCCUUGGCAGGACGAAGCCAGAGGAAACUCUGGUGGAGGUCCGUAGCGAUUCUGACGUGCAAAUCGAUCGUCAGACCUGGGUAUA
Molecule: ribosomal RNA, 1066 nt
Filed under: Kleptochthonius sp. JM-2008
Lineage: Eukaryota; Metazoa; Arthropoda; Arachnida; Pseudoscorpiones; Chthoniidae
Description: eukaryotic LSU rRNA
Rfam family: Eukaryotic large subunit ribosomal RNA
Source: RNAcentral